Molecule: long non-coding RNA, 273 nt
Organism: Oncorhynchus keta (chum salmon)
Lineage: Eukaryota; Metazoa; Chordata; Actinopteri; Salmoniformes; Salmonidae
Exons: 3
Source: RefSeq, a predicted model, not a curated record
GACAAAGGUUUGAUUAUAGAGAGAGGGACAUGAGAGAGGGAGAGACGGAAGCAGACAAAGGUUUGAUUAUAGAGAGAGGGACAUGAGAGACGGAAGCAGACAAAGGUUUGAUUAUAGAGAGAGGGACAUGAGAGAGGGAGAGACGGAAGCAGACAAAGGUUUGAUUAUAGAGAGAGGGACAUGAGAGAGGGAGAGACGGAAGCAGACAAAGGUUUGAUUAUAGAGAGAGGGACAUGAGAGAGGGAGAGACAGAAGCAGACAAAGGUUGAUUAU